This 62-nucleotide transfer RNA is filed under the name Austinograea alayseae. RNAcentral's name for it is "tRNA-Arg". Lineage: Eukaryota; Metazoa; Arthropoda; Malacostraca; Decapoda; Bythograeidae. The record is from RNAcentral.
AAUUAGAAAGCGAAUUAUUGCAUUUAGUUUCGACCUAAACCUUGGCGCUUAGCCUCUAAUUA